Molecule: ribosomal RNA, 510 nt
Filed under: uncultured Glomeromycotina
Lineage: Eukaryota; Fungi; Glomeromycota
Description: SSU rRNA
Rfam family: Eukaryotic small subunit ribosomal RNA
Source: RNAcentral
AGCAGCCGCGGUAAUUCCAGCUCCNAUAGCGUAUAUUAAAGUUGUUGCAGUUAAAAAGCUCGUAGUUGAAUUUCGGAAUCUGUCCGUUGGUCGGGCUUCAUUGUCCGUACUGGUGUGAUGGGUUCUUACCUUCUGAAUAACCAGCAUGCCAUUCAUUUGGUGCGCUGGGGAAGCAGGACUAUUACCUUGAAAAAAUUAGAGUGCUCAAAGCAGGCUAGUGCCUGAAUACAUUAGCAUGGAAUAAUAAAAUAGGACGGCAUGGUUCUAUUUUGUUGGUUUCUAGGAUCACCGUAAUGAUUAAUAGGGAUAGUUGGGGGCAUUAGUAUUCAAUUGUCAGAGGUGAAAUUCUUGGAUUUAUUGAAGACUAACUUCUGCGAAAGCAUUUGCCAAGGAUGUUUUCAUUAAUCAAGAACGAAAGUUAGGGGAUCGAAGACGAUCAGAUACCGUCGUAGUCUUAACCAUAAACUAUGCCGACUAGGGAUCGGACGAUGUUAAUUUUUUAAUGACUCG